GGAUAUAGCUCAGUUGGUUAGAGCGCCGGUCUGUGGAACCGGAGGUCGUGGGUUCGAGUCCCACUAUC
RNAcentral lists this transfer RNA (68 nucleotides) under human gut metagenome. It matches the Rfam family "tRNA". Rfam says of the family: Transfer RNA (tRNA) molecules are approximately 80 nucleotides in length. Their secondary structure includes four short double-helical elements and three loops (D, anti-codon, and T loops). The record is from RNAcentral. RNAcentral also lists the same sequence under 1 other name.